RNAcentral lists this ribosomal RNA (251 nucleotides) under uncultured prokaryote. Its description in RNAcentral is "partial 16S rRNA". It matches the Rfam family "Bacterial small subunit ribosomal RNA", at positions 525 to 775 of the family's 1533-position model. The record is from RNAcentral.
ACGUAGGUGUCGAGCGUUGUUCGGAUUCAUUGGGCGUAAAGGGUCCGUAGGCGGUUGGUUAAGUCUGAUGUGAAAUCCCGGAGCUCAACUCCGGAACUGCAUUGGAAACUGACUGACUAGAGGAUCGGAGAGGAGAUUGGAAUUCCAGGUGUAGCGAUGAAAUGCGUAGAUAUCUGGAAGAACACCUAAAGCGAAGGCAGAUCUCUGGACGAUUCCUGACGCUCAGGAACGAAAGCGUGGGGCGCAAACAG